RNAcentral lists this ribosomal RNA (252 nucleotides) under uncultured bacterium. RNAcentral's name for it is "partial 16S ribosomal RNA". It matches the Rfam family "Bacterial small subunit ribosomal RNA", at positions 524 to 776 of the family's 1533-position model. The record is from RNAcentral.
UACGUAGGUGGCAAGCGUUAUCCGGAAUUAUUGGGCGUAAAGCGCGCGCAGGCGGUUAUGUAAGUCUGAAGUUAAAACCCGGGGCUCAACCUCGGUUCGCAUUGGAAACUGUGUAACUUGAGUGCAGAAGAGGAAAGUGGUAUUCCACGUGUAGCGGUGAAAUGCGUAGAUAUGUGGAGGAACACCAGUGGCGAAGGCGACUUUCUGGUCUGUAACUGAGGCUGAGGCGCGAAAGCGUGGGGAGCAAACAGG